AGGACGAACGCUGGCGGCGUGCUUAACACAUGCAAGUCGAACGAGGUUAUUGGAGAGCUUGCUCGAAGGUAGACCGAGUGGCGGACGGGUGAGUAACGCGUGAACAAUCUGUCUCAUACAGGGGGAUAACGCAUCGAAAGAUGUGCUAAUACCGCGUAGGACCACGGCAUCGCAUGGUGCUGAGGUGAAAGGAGCAAUCCGGUAUGAGGUGAGUUCGCGUCUGAUUAGAUAGUUGGUGAGGUAACGGCUCACCAAGUCAACGAUCAGUAGCCGACCUGAGAGGGUGAUCGGCCACAUUGGGACUGAGACACGGCCCAGACUCCUACGGGAGGCAGCAGUGGGGAAUAUUGGGCAAUGGGCGAAAGCCCUGACCCAGCAACGCCGCGUGAGGGAAGAAGGUUUUCGGAUCGUAAACUUCUGUCCUUGGUGAAGAUAAUGACGGUAGCCAAGGAGGAAGCCCCGGCUAACUACGUGCCAGCAGCUGC
Molecule: ribosomal RNA, 485 nt
Filed under: uncultured bacterium
Lineage: Bacteria
Description: bacterial SSU rRNA
Rfam family: Bacterial small subunit ribosomal RNA
Source: RNAcentral